GACUUGAUAAACACAGAUAUAUUUAUUGCUACAGCCAACAAGCAGGAUCCAGCUCUGCUGCAGCCCGAAGUGUGGGAUGUGAGCCCACUCCGUUUCCAUACCUCACCAGAAACCUCCAGAAAAUUGUGUUUUUCCUACAUGCAACCAGGAAUCGAUAAUAUCUACUGCAACAGGAGAAAUACAGAGGGAGGCAAAAGGAUUGAAUAAGAGAAGUGAAACAAGACAGAUUAAGACAAAUUCAGGCAAAUGUUACUGAAAAAUAAUUAAAGAAAAUAAAGAGGAGAUAAAGGCAGUACUUUUCCACUGAUUUUGAAGGAAUAGGAUAAGGCCCGUAAGGAAAAGUGGAGAAAUGCAGUUUUCUUGAAAAUAAAAGAAAGGAGCUGAUGACCUUAUCAUCUCUUCGUUUCCUCACAUCCCCUUUUCCUGACUGGUGUCAUCCACACUCUUCUCUCAGACUGUCUAAUUGAGUAGCAUAAUUAAAUUAAACUCAGAGCAGC
Long non-coding RNA from Numida meleagris (helmeted guineafowl), 497 nucleotides. RefSeq lists it as uncharacterized. NCBI's taxonomy places the organism in Eukaryota, Metazoa, Chordata, Aves, Galliformes, Numididae. The record is from RefSeq and is a predicted model, not a curated record. The transcript is spliced from 4 exons.